GAUGAACGCUAGCUACAGGCUUAACACAUGCAAGUCGAGGGGCAGCAUGGUCUUAGCUUGCUAAGGCCGAUGGCGACCGGCGCACGGGUGAGUAACACGUAUCCAACCUGCCGUCUACUCUUGGACAGCCUUCUGAAAGGAAGAUUAAUACAAGAUGGCAUCAUGAGUCCGCAUGUUCACAUGAUUAAAGGUAUUCCGGUAGACGAUGGGGAUGCGUUCCAUUAGAUAGUAGGCGGGGUAACGGCCCACCUAGUCUUCGAUGGAUAGGGGUUCUGAGAGGAAGGUCCCCCACAUUGGAACUGAGACACGGUCCAAACUCCUACGGGAGCAGCAGUGAGGAAUAUUGGUCAAUGGGCGAGAGCCUGAACCAGCCAAGUAGCGUGAAGGAUGACUGCCCUAUGGGUUGUAAACUUCUUUUAUAAAGGAAUAAAGUCGGGUAUGGAUACCCGUUUGCAUGUACUUUAUGAAUAAGGAUCGGCUAACUCCGUGCCAG
This 493-nucleotide ribosomal RNA is filed under the name uncultured bacterium. Its description in RNAcentral is "bacterial SSU rRNA". It matches the Rfam family "Bacterial small subunit ribosomal RNA", at positions 28 to 511 of the family's 1533-position model. The record is from RNAcentral.